RNAcentral lists this ribosomal RNA (468 nucleotides) under uncultured bacterium. RNAcentral describes it as "partial 16S ribosomal RNA". It matches the Rfam family "Bacterial small subunit ribosomal RNA", at positions 28 to 507 of the family's 1533-position model. The record is from RNAcentral.
GAUGAACGCUGACAGAAUGCUUAACACAUGCAAGUCAACUUGAAUUUGGGUUUUUUAACUUAGAUUUGGGUGGCGGACGGGUGAGUAACGCGUAAAGAACUUGCCUCACAGCUAGGGACAACAUUUGGAAACGAAUGCUAAUACCUGAUAUUAUGAUUAUAAGGCAUCUUAGACUUAUGAAAGCUAUAUGCGCUGUGAGAGAGCUUUGCGUCCCAUUAGCUAGUUGGAGAGGUAACGGCUCACCAAGGCGAUGAUGGGUAGCCGGCCUGAGAGGGUGAACGGCCACAAGGGGACUGAGACACGGCCCUUACUCCUACGGGAGGCAGCAGUGGGGAAUAUUGGACAAUGGACCAAGAGUCUGAUCCAGCAAUUCUGUGUGCACGAUGACGUUUUUCGGAAUGUAAAGUGCUUUCAGUUGGGAAGAAAAAAAUGACGGUACCAACAGAAGAAGUGACGGCUAAAUACGUG